This 599-nucleotide ribosomal RNA is filed under the name uncultured bacterium. RNAcentral's name for it is "bacterial SSU rRNA". It matches the Rfam family "Bacterial small subunit ribosomal RNA", at positions 61 to 655 of the family's 1533-position model. The record is from RNAcentral.
GUCGAGCGGUAGAGAGGUGCUUGCACCUCUUGAGAGCGGCGGACGGGUGAGUAAAGCCUAGGAAUCUGCCUGGUAGUGGGGGAUAACGCUCGGAAACGGACGCUAAUACCGCAUACGUCCUACGGGAGAAAGCAGGGGACCUUCGGGCCUUGCGCUAUCAGAUGAGCCUAGGUCGGAUUAGCUAGUUGGUGAGGUAAUGGCUCACCAAGGCGACGAUCCGUAACUGGUCUGAGAGGAUGAUCAGUCACAUUGGAACUGAGACACGGUCCAGACUCCUACGGGAGGCAGCAGUGGGGAAUAUUGGACAAUGGGCGAAAGCCUGAUCCAGCCAUGCCGCGUGUGUGAAGAAGGUCUUCGGAUUGUAAAGCACUUUAAGUUGGGAGGAAGGGCAUUAACCUAAUACGUUAGUGUUUUGACGUUACCGACAGAAUAAGCACCGGCUAACUCUGUGCCAGCAGCCGCGGUAAUACAGAGGGUGCAAGCGUUAAUCGGAAUUACUGGGCGUAAAGCGCGCGUAGGUGGUUCGUUAAGUUGGAUGUGAAAUCCCCGGGCUCAACCUGGGAACUGCAUUCAAAACUGUCGAGCUAGAGUAUGGUAGA